Molecule: ribosomal RNA, 315 nt
Filed under: uncultured eukaryote
Lineage: Eukaryota
Description: partial 18S ribosomal RNA
Rfam family: Eukaryotic small subunit ribosomal RNA
Source: RNAcentral
CCCUUAGACGUUCUGGGCCGCACGCGCGCUACACUGACCAGUGCAACAAGCAUCCGUCCUUGGCCGACAGGCUCGGGCAAUCUUUGAACGCUGGUCGUGAUGGGGAUAGACUUUUGCAAUUUUUGGUCUUCAACGAGGAAUUCCUAGUAAACACAAGUCAUCAACUUGCAUUGAUUACGUCCCUGCCCUUUGUACACACCGCCCGUCGCACCUACCGAUUGAAUGGUCCGGUGAAGCCUCCGGAUUGGCGCGCACCUCGGUGCCGCCGAGAAGUUGGCUAAACCUUACCAUUUAGAGGAAGGUGAAGUCGUAACA